Molecule: long non-coding RNA, 1115 nt
Filed under: Cucumis sativus (cucumber)
Lineage: Eukaryota; Viridiplantae; Streptophyta; Magnoliopsida; Cucurbitales; Cucurbitaceae
Description: long non-coding RNA (CSAT_LNC001589)
Source: RNAcentral
GGUUGAUUCAGUUUCUUGGUGCAUGGAGGAAAGCUGAUAGAAGUCAAAGAGAAAAGGAGAGAGAAGGCUGCAUUUAGAGGAAGCAUGAAAUUAGUCAUUGGAAAAUGGAAAGAGUUUAGAAUGAGUUAAUAAUUAUUAAAGGCAAACAAUAGCAAAAUUCUUUGGAGGAGACAAUAUUGGGUUAGUUGGACAUUGUAGGCAUUUUCAUAGGCCAAUGGGUUCCUAUUAUGCAAACAGCUGAUCUUGAGUCCUUUAAAACUAUUUUGAGCAGCCACACGUUCCCAAAUUAAAACUAACCAGAUGGACUCAAGAUCUUAUGAAACAAGACCUAACUUUUGCAUAUGCUCCAACUUGAUUUACACCAAAAUAAAUUAAAGGUGGCUUUCUAACAUAAUGGUAAAUUGUAUACUUGUUGUUGUACUUUGUUCUGCCUACUGGUUAUCUCAUGGAUGGAACAAAAUGCCAAGAUCGUUCAAUAACCGAACCACCUAGUUACCUUGCCAGGUGAAAUCGGAAGCUGCAAAACAGGAACAAGUUAGUAUAUGGCUGAGCCGUGGACACGCUCUCUUUAAGACGUUUCGUGACUUUGCUCUCUUUGUGCAAACAAAUUGAUCGUCUCGUCAUCCCCAAGAUAAAACAACCUUGGUCUUCAAUUGGUUUUGCUCCACUCAACAUACACACAUUUGCUUGGAAGACUUCUCUAUUACAGAGAGGAAAUCGUUUAUGCGUGCUUUCAGGAAGAAAGUAAUAUAUGACUUAUAUAUAUAUAUAUAUAGUAAUAGGUGGGAAAAGCAACCAAUGACCACAAAAAUUAAUGAGAAAACUUGGGAGGCAAUCAAACGGUUUAUUUAGAAAACCGAAAACCAUUUAAUUAUAAAACAGUUUUGGUUUUUGGAAAGUCAAAGAAAAUCGUUUUAUUAUAAAGAAAACGUCGUCUCGCGUGUGGAGAUAUGGACAUAUCCACAUUUGCCUAUCUCAUCUCUCCUUCGAAAACUUAGGUAUCUUGAGGGCCUAAACCCAUGAAUGAAACAACGAAUAUAUGAGGAGACUCUUGGGAAUGCAAGUUUUGAAAAAAACAAUAAUAUAUUUUUUCUUUCACAAAUUUUUCAUCCAAC